RNAcentral lists this ribosomal RNA (844 nucleotides) under Streptomyces sp. RNAcentral describes it as "bacterial SSU rRNA". It matches the Rfam family "Bacterial small subunit ribosomal RNA", at positions 56 to 914 of the family's 1533-position model. Lineage: Bacteria; Bacillati; Actinomycetota; Actinomycetes; Kitasatosporales; Streptomycetaceae. The record is from RNAcentral.
UGCAGUCGACGAUGAACCGGUUUCGGCCGGGGAUUAGUGGCGAACGGGUGAGUAACACGUGGGCAAUCUGCCCUGCACUCUGGGACAAGCCCUGGAAACGGGGUCUAAUACCGGAUAUGACACGCUCCCGCAUGGGAUGCGUGUGGAAAGCUCCGGCGGUGCAGGAUGAGCCCGCGGCCUAUCAGCUUGUUGGUGGGGUGAUGGCCUACCAAGGCGACGACGGGUAGCCGGCCUGAGAGGGCGACCGGCCACACUGGGACUGAGACACGGCCCAGACUCCUACGGGAGGCAGCAGUGGGGAAUAUUGCACAAUGGGCGAAAGCCUGAUGCAGCGACGCCGCGUGAGGGAUGACGGCCUUCGGGUUGUAAACCUCUUUCAGCAGGGAAGAAGCGAGAGUGACGGUACCUGCAGAAGAAGCGCCGGCUAACUACGUGCCAGCAGCCGCGGUAAUACGUAGGGCGCAAGCGUUGUCCGGAAUUAUUGGGCGUAAAGAGCUCGUAGGCGGCUUGUCGCGUCGGAUGUGAAAGCCCGGGGCUUAACUCCGGGUCUGCAUUCGAUACGGGCAGGCUAGAGUUCGGUAGGGGAGAUCGGAAUUCCUGGUGUAGCGGUGAAAUGCGCAGAUAUCAGGAGGAACACCGGUGGCGAAGGCGGAUCUCUGGGCCGAUACUGACGCUGAGGAGCGAAAGCGUGGGGAGCGAACAGGAUUAGAUACCCUGGUAGUCCACGCCGUAAACGUUGGGAACUAGGUGUGGGCGACAUUCCACGUCGUCCGCGCCGCAGCUAACGCAUUAAGUUCCCCGCCUGGGGAGUACGGCCGCAAGGCUAAAACUCAAAGGAAUUGAC